GAGUUUGAUCCUGGCUCAGAGCGAACGCUGGCGGCAUGCUUAACACAUGCAAGUCGCACGGUCAGCAAUGGCAGUGGCGGACGGGUGAGUAACACGUAGGAAUCUAUCUCUGGGUGGGGGACAACAGUGGGAAACUACUGCUAAUACCGCAUGAUACCUGAGGGUCAAAGGCGUAAGUCGCCUGGAGAGGAGCCUGCGUCUGAUUAGCUUGUUGGUGGGGUAAAGGCCUACCAAGGCUACGAUCAGUAGCUGGUCUGAGAGGAUGAUCAGCCACAUUGGGGCUGAGACACGGCCCAAACUCCUACGGGAGGCAGCAGUGGGGAAUAUUGGACAAUGGGCGAAAGCCUGAUCCAGCAAUGCCGCGUGUGUGAAGAAGGUCUUCGGAUUGUAAAGCACUUUUGGCAGGGACGAUGAUGACGGUACCUGCAGAAUAAGCCCCGGCUAACUUCGUGCCAGCAGCCGCAGUAAU
RNAcentral lists this ribosomal RNA (469 nucleotides) under bacterium enrichment culture clone ALO1_GLFRUDD03F3DVJ. RNAcentral's name for it is "bacterial SSU rRNA". It matches the Rfam family "Bacterial small subunit ribosomal RNA", at positions 9 to 524 of the family's 1533-position model. The record is from RNAcentral.